GAAAUCUUUGCUUUUAUGCAGGUGCUCACACUAUAACUUAACAAUUCUGUAAGUGGACUCUGUAAGAAGAACGUAUAAACCUGCAGAAAGUCUAUGAACAGAUUAAAUAGUCCUGAUUAUUUUUCUUGCAGGAUACAAUGACAUGAAAACUGAGCUGAAGGACUUCCUGCAGAGAUUUGCAGCUGAAGGAAAAGUUGUGACAUCUGAUGACAUUCGUCAGUUCUUCGAGCAGCAGAGUCGUAAAAGACGCAGAGUUGAUGCCGGAGAGUUCUACUGCACCUGAUCCCCUCUGACCUCACCUCCAUCUGCUGAUCUUUCAUCCCUGAUUAAAUGGAACCUGUUGUGUGUUUCCCGUUUUAACUUUUCUAUAAAAUCUGUCUAACAUGUCGAACAACCUCUUUGUUUCUCAGUAUUGUUUCCUUUUUAAACAAUCUAAUAAAACAAUCUGAACAUGGCAA
Molecule: non-coding RNA, 458 nt
Organism: Neolamprologus brichardi
Lineage: Eukaryota; Metazoa; Chordata; Actinopteri; Cichliformes; Cichlidae
Source: RefSeq, a predicted model, not a curated record